RNAcentral lists this ribosomal RNA (1309 nucleotides) under metagenome. RNAcentral's name for it is "bacterial LSU rRNA". It matches the Rfam family "Bacterial large subunit ribosomal RNA", at positions 1592 to 2925 of the family's 2925-position model. The record is from RNAcentral.
UUGAAUUUGGAAGAAGGCGAGAAAAGCUGUGUGAAUAGAAGAUAGAGCCCGUACCGCAAACCGACACAGGUAGAUAGGAAGAAGAUCCUAAGGCCAACGGGAGAAGGGUUGUUAAGGAACUCGGCAAGUUGACCCCGUAACUUAGGGAGAAGGGGUGCUCUUUAAGGAGAGCCGCAGAGAAUAGGCCCAAGCGACUGUUUAGCAAAAACACAGCUCUAUGCUAAAUCGAAAGAUGACGUAUAUGGGGUGACACCUGCCCGGUGCCGGAAGGUUAAGAGGAGGAGUGAGAGCUCUGAAUUGAAGCCCCGGUAAACGGCGGCCGUAACAAUAACGGUCCUAAGGUAGCGAAAUUCCUUGUCAGGUAAGUUCUGACCCGCACGAAUGGUGUAACGAUUUGGGCACUGUCUCAACAACCUGCCCGGCGAAAUUGUAGUACCGGUGAAGAUGCCGGUUACCCGCGACUAGACGGAAAGACCCCAUGGAGCUUUACUGCAGCUUAAUAUUGAAUUUCGGUAUUUCAUGUACAGGAUAGGUGGGAGACAGGGAACCAUAGGCGUCAGCUUAUGGGGAGUCGACCUUGGGAUACCACUCUUGAGGUGCUGGAAUUCUAACCUGUGGCUCUGAAUCGAGUCAGGGGACAUUGUUAGGCGGGCAGUUUGACUGGGGCGGUCGCCUCCAAAAAGGUAACGGAGGCGCUCAAAGGUUCGCUCAGCAUGGAUGGAAACCAUGCUUUUGAGUGUAAACGCAAAAGCGAGCCUAACUGCGAGACUGACGGGUCGAGCAGUAACGAAAGUUGGAGUUAGUGAUCCGGCGGUAUGUGAGUGGAAAUGCCGUCGCUCAACGGAUAAAAGCUACCCUGGGGAUAACAGGCUGAUCUCCCCCAAGAGUCCACAUCGACGGGGAGGUUUGGCACCUCGAUGUCGGCUCAUCGCAUCCUGGGGCUGAAUUCGGUCCCAAGGGUUUGGCUGUUCGCCAAUUAAAGCGGUACGCGAGCUGGGUUCAGAACGUCGUGAGACAGUUCGGUCCCUAUCUGUCGUGGGCGUAGGAUAUUUGAAAGGAGCUGUCCCUAGUACGAGAGGACCGGGAUGGACGCACCGCUGGUGCACCAGUUGUCAUGCCAAUGGCACAGCUGGGCAGCUAUGUGCGGAACGGAUAAACGCUGAAGGCAUCUAAGCGUGAAGCCGACCUUAAGAUAAGAUAUCCCUUCGUAAGAGUAAGACCUCUCAUAGACUAUGAGUUUGAUAGGCCUAAGGUGUAAGCACAGUGAUGUGUUCAGCCUGCAGGUACUAAUCGGUCGAGGGCUUUUCUA